UGCGUAGGCGGGCUAAUAAGUCAGUGGUGAAAUCUCUCGGCUCAACCGGGAAACUGCCAUUGAUACUGUUAGUCUUGAGUUCGGUUGAGGUAGGCGGAGUGUGUAAUGUAGCGGUGAAAUGCUUAGAUAUUACACAGAACACCAAUUGCGUAGGCAGCUUACUAGACCGACACUGACGCUGAGGCACGAAAGCGUGGGGAGCGAACAGGAUUAGAUACCCUGGUAGUCC
Molecule: ribosomal RNA, 229 nt
Filed under: uncultured bacterium
Lineage: Bacteria
Description: partial 16S ribosomal RNA
Rfam family: Bacterial small subunit ribosomal RNA
Source: RNAcentral